RNAcentral lists this ribosomal RNA (856 nucleotides) under Prorocentrum caipirignum. Its description in RNAcentral is "partial 28S ribosomal RNA". It matches the Rfam family "Eukaryotic large subunit ribosomal RNA", at positions 43 to 863 of the family's 3401-position model. The record is from RNAcentral. Lineage: Eukaryota; Dinophyceae; Prorocentrales; Prorocentraceae.
UUAGUAGGCGGCGGAAGAUAACCCAAAAGGGAUUCCUUCAGUAAUGGCGAAUGAACGGGGAAAAGCUCAGCAAAGAAAUCAGGGACCCCGUCCUUGAGUUGUGGACUUGAGAGGUAUUGCCAAUGGUGGCGCAGGUGCGGGCCUCUUGGAAAAGGGCACCACAGAGGGUGUGAGUCCUGUUUGUCAUCUGUAGUCCGCCAUGUACGGCAUGCCUCCUCAGAGUCACGUUCCUUGGAAUUGGAGCGCGAAGGUGGUGGUGGCUUUCAUCUCAAGCUAAAUAUGGGUUCGAGACCGAUAGCAAACAAGUACCAUGAGGGAAAAUUGAAAAGAGCUUUGGAAAGAGAGUUAAAAGUGCCCGAACUUGCUGAUAGGGAAGCGAAGGGAGCUGACGUUGCUUGGUGACAUUUUCCGUGCAAGAGUAGGAUGGGUUCUGAUUGCAAUGUGCGUAGUGCUUCUUGCCGUGCGUGUCGAUGCCGAGCAACGAGUGGGGAGAGCACCAGGGAUAUGAUUGUUCUGUCCCCGGGUGGACGAAGGUGCCUGGUCGCAUCCAUUUGUGGGCUGAAACAAGUGGUGGCUGGUUGCAGCGCUCCAUAACUGCCAGGCAGUUGGGGUGCAGCCCUGAUACGCAGACGAGGACAAAGUGCUUCUGUUCGACCCGUCUUGAAACACGGACCAAGGAGUCUGACACUCAUGCAAGCUCGCGGGUGGGUAAACUUGUUCGCGUAAUUAAGGUGUCUGUUGUGAUUUUUGCACCAACGCCCGACCAAUCAAUUGAGAGAGGUUUGAGUGUGAGCAUUUCUGUCAGGACCCGAAAGAUGGUGAACUAUGCUUGAGAAGGGUAAGUUCAGGGGAAACU